This 1187-nucleotide ribosomal RNA is filed under the name uncultured archaeon. RNAcentral describes it as "bacterial SSU rRNA". It matches the Rfam family "Archaeal small subunit ribosomal RNA", at positions 119 to 1310 of the family's 1478-position model. The record is from RNAcentral.
GAAGGGGAUAACCCCGGGAAGCUGGGAGAUAAUCCCUAUAGAUUACAGAUGCUGGAAUGCCCUGUAAUCCAAAGUUCCGACGCCCAUAGGAUGGAUCUGCGGCCGAUUACGUUGUUGUUGGGGUAGUGGCCCAACAAGCCCGUAAUCUGUACCGGUUGUGGGAGCUAGAGCCCAGAGUUGGAUUCUGAGAUACCAAUCGCGGCCCUACGGGGCGCAGCAGGCGCGAAAACUUUACAAUGCGGGCAACCGUGAUAAGGGAACCUCGAGUGCCUGUAAAUGCAGGCUGUUCAGGUGCCUAAAACACACCUGAAGAAAGGGCCGGGCAAGACCGGUGCCAGCCGCCGCGGUAAUACCGGCGGCUCGAGUGGUGGCCGCUUUUAUUGGGCUUAAAGCGUUCGUAGCUGGGUUGUUAAGUCUCUUGGGAAAUCUGGCGGCUUAACCGUCAGGCGUCUAAGGGAUACUGGCAAUCUUGGAACCGGGAGAGGUGAGGGGUACUUCGGGGGUAGGAGUGAAAUCCUGUAAUCCUCGAGGGACCACCUGUGGCGAAGGCGCCUCACCAGAACGGCUUCGACAGUGAGGGACGAAAGCUGGGGGAGCAAACCGGAUUAGAUACCCGGGUAGUCCCAGCCGUAAACUAUGCGCGUUAGGUGUAUCGGUGACCACGAGUUACCGAGGUGCCGAAGGGAAACCGUGAAACGUGCCGCCUGGGAAGUACGGUCGCAAGGCUGAAACUUAAAGGAAUUGGCGGGGGAGCACCACAACAGGUGGAGCCUGCGGUUUAAUUGGACUCAACGCCGGGAAGCUCACCGGAUAAGACAGCAGAAUGAUUGCCGGGCUGAAGACUCUGCAUGACUAGCUGAGAGGAGGUGCAUGGCCGUCGUCAGUUCGUACUGUGAAGCAUCCUGUUAAGUCAGGCAACGAGCAAGACCCACGCCAACAGUUGCCAGCAUGGUCUCCGGACUGAUGGGGACACUGUUGGGACCGCCUCUGCUAAAGAGGAGGAAGGUAUGGGCAACGGUAGGUCAGCAUGCCCACAAUUAUCCGGGUUACACGCCGGUUGCAAUCGGCAGGACAAUGGGCAUAGACACCGAAAGGUGAAGGCAAUCUCCUAAACCUGUCUUUAGUUCGGAUUGUGGGUUGCAACUCGCCCACCUGAAGCCGGAAUCUGUGGUAAUAGCGUUUCAACA